RNAcentral lists this unclassified non-coding RNA (253 nucleotides) under uncultured Bacillaceae bacterium. Its description in RNAcentral is "contains 16S-23S intergenic spacer region". It matches the Rfam family "Bacterial small subunit ribosomal RNA", at positions 524 to 776 of the family's 1533-position model. Lineage: Bacteria; Bacillati; Bacillota; Bacilli; Caryophanales; Bacillaceae. The record is from RNAcentral.
UACGUAGGUGGCAAGCGUUGUCCGGAAUUAUUGGGCGUAAAGCGCGCGCAGGCGGUCCAUUAAGUCUGAUGUGAAAGCCAACGACACAACCGUGGAGGGUCAUUGGAAACUGGGAGACUUGAGUACCGAAGAGGAGAGUGGAAUUCCACGUGUAGCGGUGAAAUGCGUAGAUAUGUGGAGGAACACCAGUGGCGAAGGCGACUCUCUGGCCUAUAACUGACGCUGAGGCGCGAAAGCGUGGGGAGCAAACAGG